Long non-coding RNA from Onychostoma macrolepis, 826 nucleotides. RefSeq lists it as uncharacterized. The transcript has 4 exons. NCBI's taxonomy places the organism in Eukaryota, Metazoa, Chordata, Actinopteri, Cypriniformes, Cyprinidae. The record is from RefSeq and is a predicted model, not a curated record.
AGUAACACACCAAGCAAGAUCCUUUUGUUCCUGUUUCUAUAAAAGUACGAAGGUGUAUCAUACAGCUCUGGGUAUCCACAUACAGCGACGAUGAUUUUGAUCCACCUAGUGGGCUAAAGUCAGUCACACCUUUGCUUUCUUCCAAAUAACGCACCCCAGACAGCACACGUACGUCUGGCCGACGUCGGCCCAAUAUCGAACCGUCGGCCUCACUACCUGAAACAUCAAAUAAACAUCGGCCAGGCGUAGGUCGAUAUAAUUCGGUCAGUGCUCUGUUUUCCAGCUCAUCAGUCGUCGGCCCUGAGUCGGUUCACGACCGCAGGCCGAUGCCGCGCUUUUCUGUUUGCUGCGAGCCCAGUUAUUUGUCUCUUAGCAACCCACAGAGAGAAGACACUCAUCCUGGCUACAUCUGUGCUUUCAGGCUGCCAGAAAGAACCCGUCUCUAAACGGUGAGCUAUUGUUGCUGUUGCUUUUUGAACUACAAAUUGAGUUUUAAGUUCAUUAUUGAAUAUUAAUUGAACGAGACUGUAAUUUAUUAAUGUAAUAUUUUAAUCCUAUAUGUUUAUUUGUGUAAAUGCUGUGUACGCGUUGAGCUCUGCGCGAGCGGGGAGCAGAGUUGCCAUGGAAACGGGGCGUUGACACAACUACUGGCGAACAGUAAUCUCCGUCUCUCGCUGCGGUUUUCACUGAUUUCAGGAGGACAGAAAGAAACUCUACAUAACAGAAGGGAAGCUCCAAGAUUUCAACAUUUCUGAAGGGAGCUACUGACUUAGAAAAAUACAGAUUCUUCAGUGGUGAUGGCCUGCUGCACCCAGCAGAGUUGGAG